RNAcentral lists this ribosomal RNA (497 nucleotides) under uncultured bacterium. Its description in RNAcentral is "partial 16S ribosomal RNA". It matches the Rfam family "Bacterial small subunit ribosomal RNA", at positions 28 to 507 of the family's 1533-position model. The record is from RNAcentral.
GACGAACGCUGGCGGCGUGCCUAAUACAUGCAAGUCGAGCGGUAAGGGUUUGUACUUGUACCGAGUUGAUGAGCCGCGAACGGGUGUGUCACGCGUGUGACAUCUGCCUUUGAGCGGGGGACAACCUGUGGAAACGAAUGCUAAUCCCGCAUAAAAACUUUAAACACAAGUUGUAAGUUUAAAAUAUGCAGUUGCAUCACUCAAACAUGAUCCCGCGUUGUAUUAGCUAGUUGGUGAGGUAAAGGCUCACCGAGGCGAGGAUACAUAGCCGAAAUGAUAGGGUGAUCGGCCAGAUUGGGAGUGAGACACGGCACAAACGCAUAGGGAAGGCAGCAGUAGGGAAUCGGGGGCAAUGGAUGAAAGUCUGAGCGAGAAAGGCGGCGUGAGUGAAGAAGGUCUUCGGAUCGUAAAACUCUGUUGGUAGGGAAGAACGUUGGUGAGAGUGGAAAGAACAGCAAGUGACGGUAACUAGUCAGAAAGGGACGGCUAACUACGUG